GACAGAGGAUGCAAGCGUUAUCCGGAAUGAUUGGGCGUAAAGCGUCUGUAGGUGGCUUUUUAAGUCUGCCGUCAAAUCCCAGGGCUUAACCCUGGACAGGCGGUGGAAACUACCAAGCUGGAGUACGGUAGGGGCAGGGGGAAUUUCCGGUGGAGCGGUGAAAUGCGUAGAUAUCAAGAGGAACACCUGAGGUGAAGACGGGUUGCUGGGCUGACACUGACGCUGAGGCGCGAAAGCCAGGGGAGCAAACGGG
RNAcentral lists this ribosomal RNA (253 nucleotides) under uncultured bacterium. Its description in RNAcentral is "partial 16S ribosomal RNA". It matches the Rfam family "Bacterial small subunit ribosomal RNA", at positions 524 to 776 of the family's 1533-position model. The record is from RNAcentral.